RNAcentral lists this ribosomal RNA (1499 nucleotides) under uncultured Bordetella sp. Its description in RNAcentral is "partial 16S-23S ribosomal RNA intergenic spacer". It matches the Rfam family "Bacterial small subunit ribosomal RNA". The record is from RNAcentral. Lineage: Bacteria; Pseudomonadati; Pseudomonadota; Betaproteobacteria; Burkholderiales; Alcaligenaceae.
AGUUCGAUUCUGGCUCCAGAUUGAACGCUGGCGGGAUGCUUUACACAUGCAAGUCGAACGGCAGCACGGACUUCGGUCUGGUGGCGAGUGGCGAACGGGUGAGUAAUGUAUCGGAACGUGCCUAGUAGCGGGGGGAUAACUACGCGAAAGCGUAGCUAAUACCACAUACGCCCUUCGGGGAAAGCGGGGGACCUUCGGGCCUCGCACUAUUAGAGCAGCCGAUAUCGGAUUAGCUAGUUGGUGAAGGUAACAGCUCGCAAGGCGACGAUCCGUAGCUGGUUUGAGAGGACAGCCAGCCACACUGGGACUGAGACACGGCCCAGACUCCUGCGGGAGGCAACAGUGGGGAAUUUUGGACAAUGGGGGAAACCCUGAUCCAGCCAUCCCGCGUGUGCGAUGAAGGCCUUCAGGUUGUAAAGCACUUUUGGCAGGAAAGAAACGGCACGGGAUAAUGCCCGCGUCGCUGACAGUACCUGCAGAAUAAGCACCGGCUAACUACGUGCCGGCAACCGCGGUAAUACGUAGGGUGCAAGCGUUAAUCGGAAUUACUGGGCGUAGCGUGCACCAGGCGGUUCGGAAGAAAGAUGUGAAAUCCCCAGAGCUUAACUUUGGAGCUACUUUUUAACUACCGAGCUAGUGUCAGAGGGAGGUGGAAUUCCACGCGUGUAGCAGUGAAAUGCAUGAAUAUACGGAGGAACACCAAAUGGCGAAGGCAGCCUCCUGGGAUAACACUGACGCUCAUGCACACGAAAGCGUGGGGAGCAGGAUUAGAUACCUAUAUUGCAGUCACGCCCUAAACGAUGUCAACUAGCUGUUGGGGCCUUCGGGCCUUGGUAGCGCAGCUAACGCGUGAAGUUGACCGCCUUAGGAGAUACGGUCGCAAGAUUAAAACUCAAAGGAAUUGACGGGGACCCGCACAAGCGGUGGAUGAUGUGGAUUAAUUCGAUGCAACGCGAAAAACCUUACCUACCCUUGACAUGUCUGGAAUCCCGAAGAGAUUUGGGAGUGCUCGCAAGAGAACCGGAACACAGGUGCUGCAUGGCUGUCGUCAGCUCGUGUCGUGAGAUGUUGGAGGUUAAGUCCCGCAACGAGCACAACCCUUGUCAUUAGUUGCUACGAAGGGCACUCUAAUGAGACUGCCGGUGACAAACCGGAGGAAGGUGGGGAUGACGUCAAGUCCUCAUGGCCCUUAUGGGUAGGGCUUCACGUCAUACAAUGGUCGGGACAGAGGGUCGCCAACCCGCGAGGGGAGCCAAUCCCAGAAACCCGAUCGUAGUCCGGAUCACAGUCUGCAACUCCCGACUGCGUGAAGUCGGAAUCGCUGGUAAUCGCGGAUCAGCAUGUCGCGGUGAAUACCGUUCCCGGGUCUUGUACACACCUUACGUCGUCACACCAUGGGGAUGGGUUUUACCAAGUAGUUAGCCUAACCGUAAGGAGGGCGAUUACGUCAGGAUUCAUGACUGGGGUGAAGUCGUAACAAGGUAGCUCUGUUACUACCU